CAGAGAAUAGUUAAACUUAGAAUCCUAGCUUUGGGAGUUAGGGGUGGGUGUUAGAGUCACCCUUCUCUGA
Molecule: transfer RNA, 70 nt
Filed under: Parupeneus heptacantha (cinnabar goatfish)
Lineage: Eukaryota; Metazoa; Chordata; Actinopteri; Syngnathiformes; Mullidae
Description: tRNA-Pro
Rfam family: tRNA
About the family: Transfer RNA (tRNA) molecules are approximately 80 nucleotides in length. Their secondary structure includes four short double-helical elements and three loops (D, anti-codon, and T loops). Further hydrogen bonds mediate the characteristic L-shaped molecular structure. tRNAs have two regions of fundamental functional importance: the anti-codon, which is responsible for specific mRNA codon recognition, and the 3' end, to which the tRNAs corresponding amino acid is attached (by aminoacyl-tRNA synthetases). tRNAs cope with the degeneracy of the genetic code in two manners: having more than one tRNA (with a specific anti-codon) for a particular amino acid; and 'wobble' base-pairing, i.e. permitting non-standard base-pairing at the 3rd anti-codon position.
Source: RNAcentral